AACACAGGAGUGAAACUGAUCCUGCGAGAGGCUGUGGAGACAGAGCAACCUACGCCUUGUGUUGAUGAGGAAGAAAGAGCAAGAGAGCCUUGGACAAGGUGAAGGGCUGUUUGCUGCGUACCAUAAGAGGCAGAAGAAGGAUGUUGGGAGCACUGCAGCUGCACUAUCUCCACAUUGCUGACGGACAGAAUGUCCUUUUGUUCUGGGCAAUGAACAUGAAGGUUCUUCCUUCGCUGUUCAAAGUGGCCAUCAGAGUUUUGGUAGUGCCUGCCUCCAGUGCUCCGGUGGAGCGAGUUUUUAGCCAUGGUGGCAUCAUCCUGUGACCCCAUCGUGCACACAUGAGUGACCGACUAUCGACCAAUUUGGUCUUUUGUAAAUGCAAUGCAUUAUAGGGCCCUGUGAUAAUAGAAAAAGUGUGGGUGAAUGAAACUGUUACUUAAUUGUAUGUUUAUGCAACUGUUAUGUUUCUCAGCUUGUGCUUAAUCUUGGCAAAUGUGGUCUCUUGGACCCUGAGAUUGAUGCAUCUAUAACUUGUGUUUUUCACUCACUCACUCGGUCUGACAAUAACAAACACACACUUCACAUAGUUUUUCAUAAUAAAAAAAGACACAAAUUGUGUGGCUGAAUUAAACUGUUA
Long non-coding RNA from Gymnodraco acuticeps, 637 nucleotides. RefSeq lists it as uncharacterized. The transcript is spliced from 3 exons. The record is from RefSeq and is a predicted model, not a curated record. NCBI's taxonomy places the organism in Eukaryota, Metazoa, Chordata, Actinopteri, Perciformes, Bathydraconidae.